UGGGGAAUUUUGGACAAUGGGCGCAAGCCUGAUCCAGCCAUUCCGCGUGCAGGACGAAGGCCUUCGGGUUGUAAACUGCUUUUGUACGGAACGAAAAGCCCUUCUCUAAUACAGAGGGGUCAUGACGGUACCGUAAGAAUAAGCACCGGCUAACUACGUGCCAGCAGCCGCGGUAAUACGAAGGGUGCAAGCGUUACUCGGAAUUACUGGGCGUAAAGCGUGCGUAGGUGGUGGUUUAAGUCAGAUGUGAAAUCCCCGGGCUCAACCUGGGAACUGCAUUUGUGACUGCACAGCUGGAGUGCGGCAGAGGGGGAUGGAAUUCCGCGUGUAGCAGUGAAAUGCGUAGAUAUGCGGAGGAACACCGAUGGCGAAGGCAAUCCCCUGGACCUGUACUGACGCUCAUGCACGAAAGCGUGGGGAGCAAACA
RNAcentral lists this ribosomal RNA (427 nucleotides) under uncultured bacterium. Its description in RNAcentral is "bacterial SSU rRNA". It matches the Rfam family "Bacterial small subunit ribosomal RNA", at positions 355 to 774 of the family's 1533-position model. The record is from RNAcentral.